UGGCUUGCAGGAAGGGAGGAUGAAAUAGAAGGUGGUUAUUGUUUGGAAGGAGCGUCCCCUUUCAUGAGAACAUCAGGACUCUGGCUCUCUGGUGUCCUUUCUCUCCUUGGGAGAGUCUGUAGCCCACUAGGACCUGCUUCUGGCUCACUAAGUCUCUAAAAACUGGUCUAAGAUUGUCUGUUUCGGUCUUGACUUUAACUGUUCUAUAGUAUGACAUAUCCUUAAGCAAGUGAAUGUAACGAUUGGCUUUUUCUGUCUGGGUGUGUCUUCUCUACAAAUGUUUGUAGCUUUGUCCAUUUUUUCAGGAUUCCUUUUAUUUCAGAACUUUGUUGCACUGAUUGUUUUUCCUUUUCCUUUUUUUUUUUUUUUUUGUACUGGGGAUUGAACUCAGGACCUUGCCCUUGCCAGGUAGGUGCUGUGCCACCAAGCUAAAUCCCAGCUCCAACACUGACUGAUGAUGCUCCCCCUCCUCUUCAGAAAGCUCCUCACCUGCCAUUCUCUGUUGCUCAGCCAGAAGCUGCUGAAGACCAACUCCUCUGUUCCUCCACCAGUUCCUCAACCUCACCACUGUCUGCCUACCUGUGAGCCUGUGGACCCUGCUAUGGUAACAACGUCACCAACCAAAAGGUUUCUGCCUUAAAGAAAUCAUGAUCUCUGUGGGUGACAGACAUGCAGGCUACAUACAGAAACAGCACGAUCGAGCAGGAAAGCGUGAUAGAGUGAUAAGGCGUGGCAGAGUGGUACAGCACAGGCGUCUUGCUAAACACGGACCAGGGGAGACAACAGGCUGGGGCAGAAGGACAGCUGAGUGAUGCCAGUCAAAGCGCGGGAGAGCUGAAAGCACACUGUCUACAGAGAGCAUCUCUGAAGGCUGGGGUGGGUGAGCAGCCA
Molecule: long non-coding RNA, 891 nt
Filed under: Fukomys damarensis (Damara mole-rat)
Lineage: Eukaryota; Metazoa; Chordata; Mammalia; Rodentia; Bathyergidae
Description: lncRNA (ENSFDAG00000025414.1)
Source: RNAcentral